CGGAGGCUAUGCGUCUCACCUGUGGUCACGAGUUGUUAGUUCGUUCGUGAUGUAGGAAUUCAGGCUCACUCAGGCGGAGGCUAUGCGUCUCACCUGUGGCCACGAGUUGUUUAGUUAGUUCGUUCGUGAUGUAGUUUAAGUUAGGUCAUAAUGUAGUCGUCAAGCUUUCGGGCGGAGGCUAUGGCCCUCGUCAGGGGUCACGCGUCAUAGUUUUUAAAAUGUAAUGUUCGUUCGGGAUUUCAAGGGCAGGAGAGGCCCCUACGUUAUUUUUUUAAAGUAAUCGAUCAAGAAAGGCUUUUCGGAAAAUGUGAGUAUGGACUUAUCUUUGUUUUAAUUUUAAGUAUUAAUUAUGAUUUGAGGUAUUCGGAAGGACUAGGGAAGUGUUUAGUGAAGUUCUCUCAUUCUCUCUCUUGUAAGGUCGUUCAAUCGUUAAGGAAGUAAAGAGAUUAUUGUUUUAAAUUGUAAUCCCGCUAUUUAAAUGUUCUUUAAAAUGAUGUUGAGUAUUUGACUUUAAGAAUAAAAUAAUUUUAAUUAAGUAUUAUGUUAUUUUGCAAAAUCUCCUUAGUUCAGCUCUCACCAGACAUCCUGUACGGGAUGACGAACCUAUGAUCCUAGGUACAGUAAAGUAUUUUAUGAAGUUAAGACUAGUUGAUGCCAAGCGAGUUGUUUCUAUGUAAAGAGCUACGAUUCUCUCCCCCCUCUGAAAGUGGAUCGUGACAGAAAUGGCGGUGGCACCGGCUAGGUGCACGUGACAGAAAUGGUGGAGGCGCCGGGUAGGUUCUAUUUCUGGAGAGAGAGAGAGGUAGAUUUUUAUGUUUAUUAUUAAGUUAGUUUCAGCUUCUGAUAGCAGGUUAUUAAGAGUUUACUUGAGGAGAGGAUUACGGAAUUUUAGUCUAUAGUGGAGGAAGUCUUUGAGAUUUUUUUUUUGACGUAACAGAUGUUUAUUUGAGGAUACUUGUAAGGAUAAAGUUUAUAGUGAUAAGUUGUUUUAAGUCGUUGAAUUUAUUGUAGAUUUAUAUCGGGGAUUAUUACGUGAGGAGAAUACGUUAUAAGUUAAAUGCUUAUUAGAGAUAAUGCAAGUGGUUUAAUUUAAUUGAAAUUAAUUUUAAGAUUGUAGGUUAAGAGAGUUAAAAUUUAAAAUAAAGUUUUUUUCGUAAAUAGGAAUUACUUUCAAGUGAAGUUUGUUUUGUUUUCGUGCGCGUAGGAGACGAGACGUACGAAUUAAAUCAGUCGAGGGAAGGAUAAACGUUAGAAAGGAAUUAAAAAGAAAACGAGAGUUUAUGUAAAAGAGAGUUAUAGAAUUUAUAGUGAUGUUUUGUUUUAAUUAGAAAAAUGUUGAGAGUUGUUUCAGAACGACACGUCAGUGGACGUGGCAGAAUGAACACGUGACGGGGAGGUGCUGAGACCUAGCGGAGAACGGAGGAACCGCAAGCGAGGGUUGGCGCACCUGAUGGAAUUCGGUGACGUCACGGGCUCAUACGGAGACGUGGACAGGCCGUGACCUUGUUUUGAUCAGCUGUACGGUAACUUAGCGAUAAGAAAAUAGACUAUUGGUUAAAUAAAUUUAAAUUUAAGUGUGUUUUAGAAGAAGAGUAACUUUCAGUAUAUUCCUUAAGAUGAGCUGAGCAGCAGUCCAGUUUACAAGAUGACAAGAGUUCGAGAGACAAGAUACAAGAUCACUGAAACAAGAGCCAAGACUGAAGAUUCAAGAGAAGAGAAAGCUGGCAGCCAUGGACUUACAAGUGGAGAUUAAUAAGGUCAUGUAAAGUUUUAUUUUUUUUUAUGGAAGACAGUAACUGGAGUUUUUUUUUUGUUAUAAACAUUAUUUACAGAACUUUUUAGGUUAUAGUAAUGUAAUGGAACUAGUGAGUUGUGGUAGCUGUCAAAAAGAACUAAUACCUUAAGUUUAAUUUUUAAAGUUAAUUUUCUUAAUUUACAGAGGGAUUAGUAGUUUUUUUUAAACCUUAUUUAGGUUGGAAUUUAAAGAUAAUAGUUUAUUAUAAAUGUGUACGAACAGUUCAAGUUCACAGUACUGAUAGGUAGGUCAGAUGAUCUUAUUGAUUUUGAUGAUUUGUUGUUUUGAGUUGAUUUAUAAGUGUUGUGAAUUAGACAAUGAAAUAGUUCUGAAAACUUAAAUUAUUUCAAGCUAAGAAAUAGUAAAGUUAAUUGUAACUCAAAGGACACCAGAAUUUAAUUUUUUUUUGAAUUAGUAAUGUUUGAAAAUUUUAUACUUUACAAGAAAGGUUAUAAACAAACAGAUCGGAUGGAACAAGGAUGCAGUAAAUCACAAUUUCAUUUAGAAUUAUUGAUUUGCUUUUGAGGUUAUGAAGGAAAAGUAGCUAUAAUUUAAAAAUUUGAAUAAAAAUGGUUUUUUUUUAUUUGUUUGAAAUAGAAAGUUUAAAAGUUAAUUAGUCAUGAUCUAGGUGGGUGAUGGGGUGGGAAUUGGCCACUCUUUUUCCCUAUAACCUCCCUAACAUGGCCUUCUAUUACAACUAACAGAAAUAAAGAAGAAGAAAAAUGAAGAAUUAUUAGUUAGAAUGUUUCUUUCAUGAAGAUACCUGAUGAACUUUUACUGUUUGGAAGAAUAGAAGCAAGGUUAGUCAGAUAUUUUUACUCAGAAGAAGAAGAAGAUAAAGCAGUUUUAUGACUCGACAAGCCAGAGAUUGGUGUUUCCCCUCUGCGCUUCUAUUGACUACGUUGUUUACUCUCAUGGGAUAGCUGGUUCGGCACCAUGGAGAGAGAUUGGUGGGCAUUGUGGUUGCCCCCAGAAGAAAAGAAGAGUAGAAGAGGUUAUGGGUGGGUCAUGUGAACUGACCUUCAACCCAGUUACUUCGUGGGGACUAUUUGCUGUAUAGAGAAGAUCAAGACUCAAGAGUUAGGGAAAAUCAUUGGAGGUCAUGUUUCCCUUCCUUAAGUUUUUCCUAUCAAAUUAUUUGCCUGAUUAGAUUAUGCUAAGGGUGGGAUACUUUAUGUUAGCAGUUGAAUUAAUUAAUUUUAUUUUUUUGUGUGUUUGCAUCCUUGCCCAUCGAUUGCAGUUUAGUAGUUAGUUUUGUAUUUGUCAGGCGUGAUGGUAAUGCCUGUUGAUGAUGUUUCAGAAUUGUAAUCUGUUCGUGAUGAGGAUGGCACAACUCCGAAGCAGAUGUGGGGAGAAGUUGUGAGCUGCCCUGGAAGCCAGUCCAGUAGCUGUUGGAGUUGAGUGGUGUUUGCUGAUGGCCAGCCCAGGGAGCUACUCUUCUCGACAACACUGACUUCGAGGAGUUGCACCAACCUUCACGAGAUAAGAGUUUAAUUAAUUGAAACACUGUAAGGACACUUAAUUUUUUUUGAAGAACGAAAGAAGUAUGGUAAUAAACGGAAACCGAAAAAAAAAAAA
Long non-coding RNA from Bacillus rossius redtenbacheri, 3373 nucleotides. RefSeq lists it as uncharacterized. NCBI's taxonomy places the organism in Eukaryota, Metazoa, Arthropoda, Insecta, Phasmatodea, Bacillidae. The record is from RefSeq and is a predicted model, not a curated record. The transcript has 3 exons.